This 635-nucleotide long non-coding RNA is filed under the name Triticum aestivum (bread wheat). Its description in RNAcentral is "long non-coding RNA (TAES_LNC021154)". Lineage: Eukaryota; Viridiplantae; Streptophyta; Magnoliopsida; Poales; Poaceae. The record is from RNAcentral.
UAUGGAUUAUGGAAAUGCAUCUGCACCUAGGGCUCUAGCUGCUGAUGGCCAGAGAUAACAGCGAUGUGUAAGAGGUGAGAGAAUUUUCCUCACUAUGUAGCAAUCUACUUUGAUUCUUUACCAUCAAGCAUCUCUUCAUAAUCAAUUAUGCUCAAUUUUUGACAGUCACACGACAACUCCUGGCAAGCCUUUCGUGGAAACAUCGAGUACUGUUUAAGAUUUUUUAUCCACGGGAAACUAAUUAAUGUAUUUGGUGGAUGUACAGGGCUACGUAGUGGUUGCAGUCUUGUAUUAGCAAGUGAACGAUUUAGUGUUCAUUGGCAACAAAAGGAAGUGAAUAAUAUCAUGCCAUAAUUUAGUGUUGCUUCCUAGUCCUUGGUAGAUGAUGCAUUCUUCUUCUGCAUGGAAAUCUGCAAAUUGAUUAUCUGCAUACUAUUUGUCCGUACUUCUCCAAGAUCUGAGCAUACCAUCUUAGGAACUUCCAAAACUUCCUAGUGGGACAUAAGUUCAGGAGUGUAAUUUAUCAUUGUAAAAGUGCGUACUAAACCUUAAUAACAAGGGAUUCUGUUAUUUCUUUCUCAAUUUACUUGCAUCUUCAGAAAUCUGGUGUAUAGAGCUGCAAUGUUCAGUUUGCG